GAUGAACGCUGGCGGCGUGCUUAACACAUGCAAGUCGAACGGACAGGCCCUGCUUUUGUUGGGUGCUCGUGUGCCGAACGGGGGUGUAACACGUGAGUAACCUGUCCCUGUCUUUGGGGUAACUCUAGGAAACUGGGGCUAAUACCCGAUAGGAUCUCCUGAUGCAUGGGGGGGGUUGGUAAGUUUCGGCGGUUCGGGAUGGACUCGCGGCUUCGCGGCUUGUUGGUGAGGUAGUGGCUUACCAAGGUUUUGAAGGGUAGCCCGCCUGGGAGGGUGACCAGGCACAAGAGGACUACGAGAGGCCGCAGACUCCUACCGGACGCAGCAGGGGAGAGUAUUACACAGUGGGCGGAAGCCAGUUGCAGCAACGCCGCGUGCGGAAUGACGGCCUACGGGUUGUGAACCUAUUUCGACUGUGACGAGGCGUGAGUGACGGUAAUGGGUAAAAAAGCACCGGCUAACUACGUG
This 468-nucleotide ribosomal RNA is filed under the name uncultured bacterium. Its description in RNAcentral is "partial 16S ribosomal RNA". It matches the Rfam family "Bacterial small subunit ribosomal RNA", at positions 28 to 507 of the family's 1533-position model. The record is from RNAcentral.